Molecule: long non-coding RNA, 300 nt
Filed under: Monodelphis domestica (gray short-tailed opossum)
Lineage: Eukaryota; Metazoa; Chordata; Mammalia; Didelphimorphia; Didelphidae
Description: lncRNA (ENSMODG00000044438.1)
Source: RNAcentral
CUACCAGGCUGUGUUAAGUCCAGAACCAAGAUGACAGAGUAGAAGCAGGGAUGCUGAAAACCACCAUGAGAAUACUCUCCAGCCAAUCUUAAAAUAAUUCCACAAAGUGAAUAUAGGAGUUAAAGAACCAACAAGGAAUGGAGUGAAGCAACUUUCAAGAAGAAAAGAAAUAUUCUUAGGAUUUCAGACCUAGGGUCAGAUCCCUUCAAGUAUACAAUAGUGUAAACUACUCUGCAUAUACUUAUAAACAUCACUAUCACCACCCUUUGGACGAUGGUGAGCACAUUCCAGGACAGAGCU